This 631-nucleotide long non-coding RNA is filed under the name Gallus gallus (chicken). RNAcentral's name for it is "lncRNA (ENSGALG00010028696.1)". The record is from RNAcentral. Lineage: Eukaryota; Metazoa; Chordata; Aves; Galliformes; Phasianidae.
UCCCCACUCAUAGGAAAAUUAAAACACAGGAAAGCAGCUGGAUCAGCUACUGCCUUUCACUACAGUUACCAUUUUAGGUUAUGGAUCAAGGUUGAACUGUACAGAGAGAGUGCAGCCACAAGGCUCUGGCUGUGCCGGGCCUCCCACCAGCCUGGGCCCCAAAGCAGCCCCAACUGUGCCUGGGUCUCCUCCAUCCUGGGCCCCAAAGCAGCCCCAACUGUGCCUGCUCCUCCUCCAUCCUAGGCCCCAAAGCAGCCCCAACUGCGCCCGGUCCUCCUCCAUCCUGGGCCCCAAAGCAGCCCCAACUGUGCCUGGUCCUGCUUCAUCCUGGGCACCAAGAGCCUGGCUGUGCCGGGGCUCCCUUUGGUCUGGGCCAAGAGCAGGCCUCAACUGUGCCAGGCCCCCCUCCAGCCCAGGCCCCAAAGCAGCCCCAACUGUGUCUGGCUACCCUCCAUCCUGGGCCCCAAAGCAGCCCCAACUGUGCCUGCUCCUCCUCCAUCCUAGGCCCCAAAGCCUGGGCAGUGCCGGGGCUCCCUCUGGCUCUGGGCCAAGAGGAGGCCUCAACUCUGCUAGGCCCCCCUCCAGCUCAGGCCCCCCCAGUGCAGCCCCAACUGCACCUGGUCCUCCUCCA